GACGAACGCUGGCGGCGUGCUUAACACAUGCAAGUCGAACGGAAAGGCCCUGCUUUUGUGGGGUGCUCGAGUGGCGAACGGGUGAGUAACACGUGAGUAACCUGCCCUUGACUUUGGGAUAACUUCAGGAAACUGGGGUUAAUACCGGAUAGGAGCUCCUGCUGCAUGGUGGGGGUUGGAAAGUUUCGGCGGUUGGGGAUGGACUCGCGGCUUAUCAGCUUGUUGGUGGGGUAGUGGCUUACCAAGGCUUUGACGGGUAGCCGGCCUGAGAGGGUGACCGGCCACAUUGGGACUGAGAUACGGCCCAGACUCCUACGGGAGGCAGCAGUGGGGAAUAUUGCACAAUGGGCUGAAGCCUGAUGCAGCAACGCCGCGUGCGGGAUGACGGCCUUCGGGUUGUAAACCGCUUUCGCCUGUGACGAAGCGUGAGUGACGGUAAUGGGUAAAGAAGCACCGGCUAACUACGUG
RNAcentral lists this ribosomal RNA (468 nucleotides) under uncultured bacterium. RNAcentral's name for it is "partial 16S ribosomal RNA". It matches the Rfam family "Bacterial small subunit ribosomal RNA", at positions 28 to 507 of the family's 1533-position model. The record is from RNAcentral.